RNAcentral lists this ribosomal RNA (119 nucleotides) under Myotis davidii. The record is from RNAcentral. Lineage: Eukaryota; Metazoa; Chordata; Mammalia; Chiroptera; Vespertilionidae.
GUCUAUGGCCAUACCACCCUGAACGCGCCCGAUCUCGUCUGAUCUCGGAAGCUAAGCAGGGUCAGGCCUGGUUAGUACUUGGAUGGGAGACCGCCUGGGAAUACUGGGUGCUGUAGGCU